UCUUUUAGGACCAUCACGGCCCAAGAACAUGACAUAUUCUCCAUCGAUCUCUUCAAUUUCAGACAAACGUGAGUUUUUGAAAAGAAACCGCACAGCUCUGGUUAGCCAGGUGAAAAACGUGAAGGCCAUUGUCGAUGAUCUGCAGAGUGGAGGUUGUCAUGAUGAAAUGGCUGCCAACGUGAAUGCCCAGUUGACACCACAAGAAAUGAUGAGGAAGCUCCUGGAUAGCGCGACCAGCACCGGGGCUGCUAACGCCCUGAUUCAAGCCCUUUCAACUCAUCAGAAGGAUGUCAUGGAUGACCUGAUUGCUGAAAAUGCUUGAAGAGGUCAAUUGGUUCUUCAUUAUAAUUGAUCUAUUUUUUACCUUUUUUCUAUCACUUUCUUUUUCCUCUGAGCCACCAGCCUGGUCUCAUAAACUAGUAAACUUACAUCUGGGACACUCAGAAUAGUAUAAUAUGCUACAGUACAUUUGGUACUGUAUGUUUACAUUAAAUUAAUGUAGAGUGGUUGGUUAAAGUGGAUGAGUAUGAUGCAACCUGUCAACUACUUACUUCUUUGAACCUACUUAGCAUGUUAGCUAACCCUUCCCCUAACUCUUAACUCCUAACACUAACCCUAGGCCUAGCUAACAUUAGCCACAACAAAUUGGAAUUCAUAACAUAUACGUUCUGCAAAUUGGUAACAUUACAUAUUGAAAUUCAUAACAUAUCAUACAAAUUGUAAUUUGUAACAUAUCAUAGGAAAUGGAUGAUGGACAUCCACAAAUGAAUACAUACCAUACGAAAGGUAACAUAUCAUACUAAUUGGCUGUUCCAGAUAUAUAUUUACUCUGUUACGUCUACCCCCUGAAUCCAGGCUGUUGCCACAUGUAAUUAUUGGUGGUGGUGCUAUUUUUUAUUGACAAAACCUGGACAAUAUAAUAUUUUAAGGGGAAACAUUUCUAUAAAAAAUGCAAGACAAUAUAUUUUGAUUAUGUUGACUAUGGUUCUUUACAUUCCAAAUAUAAAAUGUAAUGGUGCAGUUUGAAGAUUUACCCGCCACAUUACCUUUAAAUGAAAUGUUGUUGAACUACUUACGUUGUCAAACUCCAAGAAGGAGAGGUCCAAUAAAUAAACAUCUGUAGGCCUAUUGUAAUGGAAUCCUUCAUCCUCCUCUGGCGAGGAGUAUGAAAUGUCGGACCAAUGCACAGCGUGGUAUGUGUUCAUGAUGAUUUCUUUUACUGAACACUGAAAAUACAAAAUAACAACGUGAAAAUAAACUAAAACCAAAACAGUCCUGGAAGGUGCGAAAACACUAAAACAGAAAAUAAUCACCCACAAAACACAGGUGGGAAAAGGCUACCUAAGUAUGAUUCUCAAUCAGAGACAACGAACGACAGCUGCCUCUGAUUGAGAACCAUACCAGGCCAAACACAUAAACACAACAUAGAAAAAAGAACAUAAACUACCCACCCAACUCACGCCCUGACCAUUCUAAAACAAAGACAUAACAAAGGAACUAAGGUCAGAACGUGACACCUAUAAACAUCUAUCGGCCUCUACAGGCCAAGAGUUGGACUUGCAAUGACAGUCUGUGUUUGACUUUGUCAUACUGACACACCCCAUCAUAAUAGACAAUACAUUUGCAGGUAGUUAUCUAAACAUUGACCGUUGACGUUUAAGCCAUAUUUGCAUACAUUGUAAUGCAACAACUAGAAAUGGACAAUCACCUCUAUAAGCGUGAUAAAAUGUGAACACAAAACAUCAGAAAACACUAGUAACUUAGCACAUUAUUCUGAGCACGUUAGUGAGGGUACGAGGUUCCACAGACACAGACACAAACACCCAAUGUCCAAUCUUGCUUCAAUAUUAAAUCAAGUAAAGAUACAAUAAUCCUAAUAAAACUGGGUCAAAUGACUUCCUGAAUGUUUCUAGAUAUUGCACAGGAAAAGGUAAGGUCUGUGUUCCAUUUCUCAGCCAACCUGUUUCUAUUUUAUUUCAACUUGUUCCACUCUUACAAGUGUCUUGUGUAUUUUUGCCUGCAUAUCACUGCCCGCUCAACCCACAUCUUAGAACCAGUAAAUGUUUUGCCUGCCCAGUGAGACAGGGACUUCACUUUCAGCCCUACCCUGGGAUGUCAAGGAAAGGUCAAGUACAAGAGCACCUGGCAUAGCAUACUACUAAUUUUACAUUUAAGUCAUUUAUCAGACACUCUUAUCCAGAGCGAUUUACAGUAGUGAGUGCAUACAUUUAAAGGAAAUAAAAUGUCCAAUCGGUACCUGUGGAAAUCGAAACCACAACCCUAGCGUUGCAAGCGGCAUGCUCUAACAACUGAGCUACACAUUACUCCUCAAUGUGAAUCUUACGGCGCAAUCUGUACUUUCGCUUUCGCUGUAUGUGUUCACCAGUUGUGUAAACGUGGUUAUAUAACGCAGUAAGUUUGCCUCCGCCACAUUUGAGCUUUUCGGGACCUUUUCAAGUUAAGUCUUUUCAGUCUUCAGAUUUACAUUUACUACCAGAACCUGUGCCGUUAGAGCUUUAUCAUUUGGGUUAGGGUUAGAGAAGAUCCAGAGAAGAUCAGUCUUCUUUUGGAGACAUUCAUUGAAAUGGAAGAAAGUACAUGUCAGGACUUCCUAAAGAUUCUGAAGGAAGAGCAUACACAUUAUCCAGGCCGUCAACAACAUUUCAGCAAGAGCACACAAGCUUCAUCCAGCCCAACGGUGUAUGCGGAUUGCAACAGCACUGUUGAUACCAGGAAAGUCACCAAUGUCCACGGUAUUAAAGACGUAAACAUGAAUUUAACCGUUCAAGCAGGAUCGGGGAAUCGAUCUGGAAUGAACGUCAGCCAACCACCCCCACAUGCAGAUUUGGUUGUAACAACAGACAGCCAUAUAAUUGCACCAGAGAUAUCGAACUGUACAAUCCAUGGCAACCUCAAUAUGUCUGUGAUGCAGGUCCCGGCCCCCGAGGCCCCACAGUGUCCAGUGUUACCACAGCAAACAGAAGAUGUGUCCUCUUCUCAGGGCCCUGCCAUGAAAAUGAUCAUUGAGAAUAAGGUGAAACUCAUCGACUGGCUCCGAGCAGAUUCUGGCUUCCUUCUUCAACAUGUGCACUCCAAACGUAUUGUUACCGAUAGAGAGUAUCAACAGCUGAAGAGCCUCUCAGUACCAGAGGCUGCUGUGACCGACCUGAUUGACAAGAUAAUUCUCAAAAAGGAAGAGACUUGCUCUCAGUUUCUUGAUACUCUCAAAGAAAGUCAGGUGAAUGACACCUAUCCCGAACUUAAGGAGUGGAUUACCACCAUAUUCUGACUAGGACCAUCAUGGCCCAAGAACAUGACAUAUUCUCCAUCGAUCUCUUCAAUUUCAGACAAACGUGGGUUUUUGAAAAGAAACCGCACAGCUCUGGUUAGCCAGGUGAAAAACGUGAAGGCCAUUGUAGAUGAUCUGCAGAGUGGAGGUUAUCAUGAUGAAAUGGCUGCCAACGUGAAUGCCCAGUUGACACCACAAGAAAUGAUGAGGAAGCUCCUGGAUAGCGCGACCAGCACCGGGGCUGCUAACGCCCUGAUUCAAGCCCUUUUAACUAAUCAGAAGGAUGUCAUGGAUGACUUGAUUGCUGAAAAUGCUUGAAGAGGUCAAUUGGUUCUUCAUUAUAAUUGAUCUAUUUUUUUACCUUUUUUAUAUCACUUUCUUUUUCCUCUGAGCCACCAGCCUGGUCUCAUAAACUAGUAAACUUACAUCUGGGACACUCAGAAUAGUAUAAUAUGCUACAGUACAUUUGGUACUGUAUGUUUACAUUAAAUUAAUGUAGAGUGGUUGGUUAAAGUGGAUGAGUAUGAUGCAACCUGUCAACUACUUACUUCUUUGAAGCUACUUAGCAUGUUAGCUAACCCUUCCCCUAACUCUUAACUCCUAACACUAACCCUAGGCCUAGCUAACAUUAGCCACAACAAAUUGGAAUUCAUAACAUAUACGUUCUGCAAAUCGGUAACAUUACAUAUUGAAAUUCAUAACAUAUCAUACAAAUUGUAAUUUGUAACAUAUCAUAGGAAAUGGAUGAUGGACAUCCACAAAUGAAUACAUACCAUACGAAAGGUAACAUAUAAUACUAAUUGGCUGUUCCAGAUAUAUAUUUACUCUGUUACGUCUACCCCCUGAAUCCAGGCUGUUGCCACAUGUAAUUAUUGGUGGUGGUGCUAUUUUUUAUUGACAAAACCGGGACAAUAUAAUAUUUUAAGGGGAAACAUUUCUAUAAAAAAUGCAAGACAAUAUAUUUUGAUUAUGUUGACUAUGGUUCUUUACAUUCCAAAUAUAAAAUGUAACGGUGCAGUUUGAAGAUUUACCGCCACAUUACCUUUAAAUGAAAUGUUGUUGAACUACUUACGUUGUCAAACUCCAAGAAGGAGAGGUCCAAUAAAUAAACAUCUGUA
Oncorhynchus masou masou (cherry salmon) is the source of this 4407-nucleotide RNA transcript. RefSeq lists it as uncharacterized. The transcript is spliced from 9 exons. NCBI's taxonomy places the organism in Eukaryota, Metazoa, Chordata, Actinopteri, Salmoniformes, Salmonidae. The record is from RefSeq and is a predicted model, not a curated record.